This 253-nucleotide ribosomal RNA is filed under the name uncultured bacterium. Its description in RNAcentral is "partial 16S ribosomal RNA". It matches the Rfam family "Bacterial small subunit ribosomal RNA", at positions 524 to 776 of the family's 1533-position model. The record is from RNAcentral.
UACGAAGGGGGCUAGCGUUGCUCGGAAUUACUGGGCGUAAAGCGCACGUAGGUGGCGAUUCAAGUUAGAUGUGAAAGGCCCGGGCUCAACCCGGGAACUGCAUUUGAUACUGAAUUGCUAGAGUCCAAGAGAGGGUAGUGGAAUUCCCAGUGUAGAGGUGAAAUUCGUAGAUAUUGGGAAGAACACCAGUGGCGAAGGCGGCUCACUGGACCGGUAUUGACGCUGAGGUGCGAAAGCGUGGGGAGCAAACAGG